UGGGGAAUAUUGCACAAUGGGGGAAACCCUGAUGCAGCGACGCCGCGUGAGCGAAGAAGGCUUUCGAGUCGUAAAGCUCUGUCCUAUGAGAAGAUAAUGACGGUAUCAUAGGAGGAAGCCCUGGCUAAAUACGUGCCAGCAGCCGCGGUAAUACGUAUGGGGCGAGCGUUGUCCGGAAUUAUUGGGCGUAAAGGGUACGUAGGCGGUUUUUUAAGUCAGGUGUCAAAGCGUGGAGCUUAACUCCAUUAAGCACUUGAAACUGAAAGACUUGAGUGAAGGAGAGGAAAGUGGAAUUCCUAGUGUAGCGGUGAAAUGCGUAGAUAUUAGGAAGAAUACCGGUGGCGAAGGCGACUUGCUGGACACAAACUGACGCUGAGGAACGAAAGCGUGGGUAGCAAACAGG
Molecule: ribosomal RNA, 403 nt
Filed under: Verrucomicrobiota bacterium
Lineage: Bacteria; Pseudomonadati; Verrucomicrobiota
Description: Verrucomicrobia bacterium partial 16S ribosomal RNA
Rfam family: Bacterial small subunit ribosomal RNA
Source: RNAcentral